This 482-nucleotide unclassified non-coding RNA is filed under the name Hevea brasiliensis (rubber tree). The record is from RNAcentral. Lineage: Eukaryota; Viridiplantae; Streptophyta; Magnoliopsida; Malpighiales; Euphorbiaceae.
AAUUAAAAUAAAUUAAUUAAUUUAUAAUCCCAAAGAAACAUAAAAGAAAUAAUUCUAAUCACAUUAGUCUUUUAUAGUCCAUGAUCAUCCAUCAUGCAUAUCACUAUUUAACAAUUAAAUAAAACAUACAUACUUAAAUUAAAUUGAAUAUCUCAUAUUCAACUUAAAAAUCCAGAUUUGAAUAUGAUUCAAACAAAUUUAAAAAUUCAGAUUUGAAUCACAUUCAAACAAUUUUUAAAAUUUAGAUCUGAAUCAAAAUUUAAUUGUGUGAUUAAAACACUUAAUUAAACACUUUAAUUAGUCAUAGGCCUAAUUAUGGGCCUUGGAACAAAGCCCACAAACAUACCCAAACAGCCAUGCACAUGGUUGAAUGAAUCAAACCAUGCACAUGGUGGUGUAGUUCAUCAAGCCGCCACCUUUGUUGGUCCAACCAGCAAUGAAACAAUCAUCUCAUGAUUAAAUCACACAAUUAAAUCAUAUAA